GUUAUUAUCCGCCCCCUCAUAAUUGAUGGGGCGGUUGAUUUUUCAAUUGCCUUUUUGGAGAAAAUGAAUGGCUCGUAUUGCCGGUGUUAACAUUCCGGAU
Alkanindiges sp. is the source of this 100-nucleotide non-coding RNA. The record is from Rfam. NCBI's taxonomy places the organism in Bacteria, Pseudomonadati, Pseudomonadota, Gammaproteobacteria, Moraxellales, Moraxellaceae.